This 22-nucleotide small nuclear RNA is filed under the name Arabidopsis thaliana (thale cress). RNAcentral's name for it is "snRNA_02149". The record is from RNAcentral. Lineage: Eukaryota; Viridiplantae; Streptophyta; Magnoliopsida; Brassicales; Brassicaceae.
ACGAAUCGAAUAACAAAUAUCC